CCGGUACCUCACACGGCCGGAUCCACCCCCGGUACCUCACACGGCCGGGGAGA
Non-coding RNA from Nocardioides sp. Root190, 53 nucleotides. Lineage: Bacteria; Bacillati; Actinomycetota; Actinomycetes; Propionibacteriales; Nocardioidaceae. The record is from Rfam.